RNAcentral lists this ribosomal RNA (448 nucleotides) under uncultured bacterium. RNAcentral describes it as "bacterial SSU rRNA". It matches the Rfam family "Bacterial small subunit ribosomal RNA", at positions 8 to 458 of the family's 1533-position model. The record is from RNAcentral.
AGAGUUUGAUCCUGGCUCAGGAUGAACGCUAGCGGCAGGCCUAACACAUGCAAGUCGAGGGGUAGAACACUUCGGUGUUUGAGACCGGCGCACGGGUGCGUAACGCGUAUGCAAUCUACCUUGUACAGGGGAAUAGCCCAGAGAAAUUUGGAUUAAUGCCCCAUAGUAUAUAACCUUCGCAUGUUGGUUAUAUUAAAGUUCCAACGGUACAAGAUGAGCAUGCGUCCCAUUAGUUAGUUGGUAAGGUAACGGCUUACCAAGACGAUGAUGGGUAGGGGUCCUGAGAGGGAGAUCCCCCACACUGGUACUGAGACACGGACCAGACUCCUACGGGAGGCAGCAGUGAGGAAUAUUGGUCAAUGGUCGCAAGACUGAACCAGCCAUGCCGCGUGCAGGAAGACGGUCCUAUGGAUUGUAAACUGCUUUUAUACAGGAAGAAACCCUCCCA